UGUCCCCGAUCUGGUGAACAGAGAGUUGGUGCUCUGUCAUCAGCCAGGGCCAAACCAACCCUGUUAUCCCAACUUGGCUUUUGGUCUACAUCCAUGCCUGGUUCAUGCCUUGGGCACAUUG
Heterocephalus glaber (naked mole-rat) is the source of this 121-nucleotide small nucleolar RNA. Lineage: Eukaryota; Metazoa; Chordata; Mammalia; Rodentia; Bathyergidae. The record is from Ensembl.